RNAcentral lists this ribosomal RNA (1126 nucleotides) under Alexandrium catenella. RNAcentral describes it as "partial large subunit ribosomal RNA". It matches the Rfam family "Eukaryotic large subunit ribosomal RNA", at positions 77 to 1162 of the family's 3401-position model. Lineage: Eukaryota; Dinophyceae; Gonyaulacales; Pyrocystaceae. The record is from RNAcentral.
UCUUUAGUAAUUGCGAAUGAACAAGGAUAUGCUUAGCUUGACAAAUGGAGCUAUUGGCUUUGAAUUGUAUUGUGGAAAUGUAUUACCAACAGAGGUGCAGGUGCCAGCCUAUUGAAAUAAAGCGUCAAUGAGGGUGAGAAUCCUGUUUGUCAUGUGCAGCCCUUUGUGCACGGUGUAUAUUUGCUGAGUCACACUCCUUGGCAUUGGAAUGCAAAGUGGGUGGUAAGUUUCAUGUAAAGGUAAACAUGCAAUUGAGACUGAUAGCACACAAGUACCAUGAGGGAAAUAUGAAAAGGACUUUGAAAAGAGAAUUAAAUGAGUUUGUAUUUGCUGAACACAAAGUAAACAGACUUGAUUUGCUUGGUGGGAGUGUUGCACUUGCUUGACAAGAGCUUUGGGCUGUGGGUGUAAUGAUUCUUUCUUUGCAUGCCAGUUUCUAUUUGUACAUCUGAUUACCUUUGCACAUGAAUGAUAAGUCUCCUGUGGGGGGUGGAUUGCAUGUGCAUGUAAUGAUUUGUGUUUUGAUAAAUGUGUCUGGUGUAUGUGUGUGUUCCUGUGCUUGGGGAUGCUUCCUUCCUUGGACUUACAAGCCCUGACACACACAUGCUGGCAAAAUGCUUCUGCUUGACCCGUCUUGAAACACGGACCAAGGAGUCUAACAGAUGUGCAAAGUUUGAAGGUGGUAUACCUUUGUGUGCAAUGAAAGUGUCAGCUGGGAUAUGUGCACCAGCACCCAAUUAAUUAGCGGACAGAGGUUUGAGUUGGAGCAUAUCUAUUAGGACCCGAAAGAUGGUGAACUAUGCCUGAACAGAAUGAAUUCAGAGGAAACUCUGAUGGAGGUUCGUAUCGAUACUGACGUGCAAAUCGUUCGUCAUAUUUGGGUAUAGGGGCGAAAGACUAAUCGAACCAUCUAGUAGCUGGUUCCCUCCGAAGUUUCCCUCAGGAUAGCUGGAGUUGCUCAGUUUUAUCAGGUAAAGCGAAUGAUUAGAGGAAUUGGGGACAGGUUUGUCUUUGACCUAUUCUCAAACUUUAAAUGGGUAAUAUGUAGUGGUUGCUGUAUGGAACUUCUAAGAUAAAUGGCAAUAUUGGGUGGGCCAUUUUUGGUAAGCAGAACUGGCGAUGAGGG